CAACCUUAUGGAAACCACAGCCGUUAAUAAAAUACAGCUGACGCAAUCCUUUUGAGGAUAAACGAAAAUGAACAAGGCCACCUAUGCAUUGGCUUCAGUUGGGGACAUGCAAAAUAGGUGGCUUCUGGAUAGAGAGGGAUACACCCCAACGAAGCUAGAGAGAAGACCGAUAGGUUUGCAGAGAUAAGCGUCUUUCUCUUUCUACUCGACCAAAGCCGUCUCUCUUUCAAUCUCUUAACGAAAUCAGUUUCCCUCUCGACCCCCACUCCAAGAUCUCUUCGAUUUGAACCGUUCUACCUCAAAGAGGGAAAUGAGGGGGUUGUCCCCAAGUGUCCCUGUGCGAGAUAUGAGCAUAUCCACUCCCCAUCCCCUGAAUUUGGCCUUAUAUAUCCAUUUACUUUGCUGACUUCUUAAGAAGAAGUCGUCUGAUUCAGAUAAGAAGUUUUCUGAAAAAGCAGAGGAAAGUAAUAAGAUCAAUAAUGGAUGGGAAAGUAGAGGAAGGGGAAGUUGGUGGAGCAGUGACUGCCACUACCAAGACUAAGACCCGCUUGACCACAUAUGCUUUUGCCAGUGCAGUCCUGGCUUCCAUGAACUCAAUUCUCCUUGGCUACGGUGAGUUUCUUCCUUCUCUUCUUUCAUGCAAUAUGCUCCUUUAAAUGCUUGAAAAUGGGUCCCUAACUUUGUUUCGUGACUUUUGGAAACCUGGGUUCUCUCUCUCUCUCUCUC
This 726-nucleotide long non-coding RNA is filed under the name Amborella trichopoda. RNAcentral's name for it is "long non-coding RNA (ATRI_LNC000957)". Lineage: Eukaryota; Viridiplantae; Streptophyta; Magnoliopsida; Amborellales; Amborellaceae. The record is from RNAcentral.